RNAcentral lists this ribosomal RNA (460 nucleotides) under uncultured bacterium. RNAcentral describes it as "partial 16S ribosomal RNA". It matches the Rfam family "Bacterial small subunit ribosomal RNA", at positions 338 to 795 of the family's 1533-position model. The record is from RNAcentral.
CCUACGGGUGGCAGCAGUGAGGAAUAUUGGUCAAUGGACGCAAGUCUGAACCAGCCAUGCCGCGUGCAGGAAGACGGCUCUAUGAGUUGUAAACUGCUUUUGUACGAGGGUAAACGCAGAUACGCGUAUCUGUCUGAAAGUAUCGUACGAAUAAGGAUCGGCUAACUCCGUGCCAGCAGCCGCGGUAAUACGGAGGAUUCAAGCGUUAUCCGGAUUUAUUGGGUUUAAGGGGUGCGUAGGCGGUCGGAUAAGUUAGAUGUGAAAUUCCGCGGCUCAACUUCGGAAUUGCCUCUGAUACUGUUCGGCUAGAGAGUAGUUGCGGUAGGCGGAAUGUGUGGUGUAGCGGUGAAAUGCUUAGAGAUCACACAGAACACCGAUUGCGAAGGCAGCUUACCAAGCUACUACUGACGUUGAGGCACGAAAGCGUGGGUAGCAAACAGGAUUAGAUACCCCUGUAGUC